This 363-nucleotide unclassified non-coding RNA is filed under the name Sciodaphyllum brownei. Its description in RNAcentral is "partial may contain external transcribed spacer and 18S ribosomal RNA". Lineage: Eukaryota; Viridiplantae; Streptophyta; Magnoliopsida; Apiales; Araliaceae. The record is from RNAcentral.
CGACGUCCACUCUCACAUCCCUKUUCAUUCUUGGUCCAAGAGCGAUAUGCCUUGGAUGAAUUCGGUUGCCUGUGUUGUAUACCUACGUUGAUGGAAUUCGCUCGUCCAAUCACCCCUUAUUCACCUUGUGCUGCUUACGCGGUGCAGGAUGAACCAUGCAGUGUCCUUUGUUGGGCAUUCUUGCCUUGCGUUCGUGCGAUGCAGGAAAUGGCCAAUGUCUGACACUCGAAUUCUCGGAUACGGAACCUUAAGCGGGCAACGGGUCAUUGGCCUUGAUUUGCCCAAACUAAGUUCUUACGAACGACUGUCGUGCCCGUUUUGACCUGAGGAUGCUUUUGGUCCGACUGGCUCAUGCGGUGCAGA